Small nuclear RNA from Apodemus sylvaticus (European woodmouse), 105 nucleotides. The record is from RefSeq and is a predicted model, not a curated record. Lineage: Eukaryota; Metazoa; Chordata; Mammalia; Rodentia; Muridae.
GUGCUCUCUUUGGCAGCAUGUAUAUUAAAAAUUGUAAUGAUGCAGGGAUUACCAUGUCCCUUGUCAAGGGAUGACAUACAAAUUCAUGAAACAUUCUAUAUUUUA